GAUGAACGCUGGCGGCGUGCCUAAUACAUGCAAGUCGAACGAACGGUCGAGAAGCUUGCGCUUCUGAUGUUUGCGGCGGACGGGUGAGUAACAUGUGGAUCACCCACCUAUAAGACUGGGAUGACUUCGGGAAACCGUAGCUAAUACGGGAUAAUAUCUUGCACCGCAUGGUUCAUAAGUGAAUGACGGUCUUGCUGUCUCUUAUAGAUGGAUCCGCGCUGCAUUAGCUAGUUGGUAAGGUCACGGCUUCUCAAGGCAACGAUGCAUAGCCGACCUGCGAGGGUGGUCGGCCGCACGGGAGCGGGGACACGCACCGGGCUCCUGCGGGUGGCACCCAUAUGACAUGUUCCGGACUGGUCGCAAUUCUGACAGAGCUAGCCCAAGUCAGCGAUGAACGUGUUGAGUGCGUGAAGCUCUGUUAUUGGGAAAGAACAUCUGUAUAAGUAGAUGCAGACAUCCUGACGGUACCCAAUCAGGAAGCCACGGCUAACUACGUG
This 497-nucleotide ribosomal RNA is filed under the name uncultured bacterium. RNAcentral describes it as "partial 16S ribosomal RNA". It matches the Rfam family "Bacterial small subunit ribosomal RNA", at positions 28 to 507 of the family's 1533-position model. The record is from RNAcentral.